RNAcentral lists this long non-coding RNA (416 nucleotides) under Brassica rapa (field mustard). RNAcentral's name for it is "long non-coding RNA (BRAP_LNC003463)". The record is from RNAcentral. Lineage: Eukaryota; Viridiplantae; Streptophyta; Magnoliopsida; Brassicales; Brassicaceae.
CAUCUCACUAAUUUAUCUUGUUUUUACAGAUUUUUAAUCACAUGGUUCUCAUCUUCCACUACUUUAGUAGGUAAAUCUAUAAAUUUUGGAUAUCUAUUUUUUCGUGUUCUAUAAAGGUAGAUAUAUAUAUAUCUAAUCUUCCACUCAUUUUUUUUUCUUUUUGAAGCUAUUUAAACGUUUUUGUUUAUGCAUGUUUUUCAGAUCUCGGUCAGACACUCAAAGACUUCUGAGAAGUCUUCUAAAAUAUUAUGCUCCAAAAGACUUCUUGAAAAUCUUCUGAAUUUAUGGAAGAUUUCCUAAAAGUCUUCUUUCAUGACAGAUCUGAGCAUUUUGGUAAAUCUCUAUGUCUGAUUUUUUCCAUUUGGUAAACUCUUGUUGCAUAAAGCUCUUAUCUUUUCCAUUUGGUAACAUCUUUU